AACCUACUUGGAACCAACAAGAACAUCCCACAAGGCAUCUCUGCUCCAAAUCAAAGAUCAAAUGCAUCCAUGCGGUGAGUUCGCAUUGGUUUGAUCCAAGUGGAACAUUUCCAUACCUACACCCCCAUUAGCAUAACAAUCCUUUAUUAAACCACUAGCUAGACGUGCAAGAUUCAACCUACACACAAGAACCCACUAGAUAGACUUCCACUGGAACCAUGCAGCAUUCUCCCGUGAUGACCUCAUUACUCAGUCUUUUCUACUGGGGUUUCUGUUUCAACCUUCUCCUCUGUUUCAACAGGCUUCUGUUCUUCCUUUACUUCUUCUUCCUUUGGGGCUUCGACUGCAACCUCCGUUUCUUCUGCCGGUGCCUCACCAGGCUCUGUAGUCUCUUUAGCCUCCUCGACAACAGGCUCUACGGGUACUUCCGGCUCCUCUUUUGUCUCCUCAGCAACCGGCUCUGGUGUUUCCUUAGGUGUCUCCUCCUCAGUUUUCUCUAGUACUGUUGGCUCUUCUGCAGCGAUCUUGUUCUCUUCGAGCACCUCUUUAGUUUCAGCUUCAGCUGGGGCCUCGGGCUCUGGUGCCACGGGCUCCUCAGAUGCUGCAACUUUCUCUGCUUCUUUUGGCUCUUCAUGAGUUACUGCCUCUGGUGCUGCAGUGACCGCUUCUUCUGUG
RNAcentral lists this long non-coding RNA (675 nucleotides) under Populus trichocarpa (black cottonwood). RNAcentral's name for it is "long non-coding RNA (PTRI_LNC000748)". The record is from RNAcentral. Lineage: Eukaryota; Viridiplantae; Streptophyta; Magnoliopsida; Malpighiales; Salicaceae.